This 729-nucleotide ribosomal RNA is filed under the name uncultured bacterium. RNAcentral's name for it is "bacterial SSU rRNA". It matches the Rfam family "Bacterial small subunit ribosomal RNA", at positions 129 to 865 of the family's 1533-position model. The record is from RNAcentral.
CCCCGAGCUCCGGGAUAGCUGUCCGAAAGGGCAGGUAAUACCGGAUAAUAUCGCCGGCCGAUGGGUCGGCGAUCAAAGAUUUAUCGGCGCGGGCGCGGCCUAUCUCCUAUCAGCUAGUUGGUGAGGUAACGGCCCACCAAGGCGAAGACGGGUAGCGGGACUGAGAGGUUGGCCCGCCACAUCGGGACUGAGACACUGCCCGGACCCCCACGGGGGGCUGCAGUAACGAAUCUUGGGCAAUGGGCGAAAGCCUGACCCAGCGACGCCGCGUACGGGAGGAAGCCCUUCGGGGUGUAAACCGUUGUCAGGACUAAGAAAGUCCGCUUCGGCGGAUUGAUCGAGUCCAGAGGAAGUCACGGCUAACUCUGUGCCAGCAGCCGCGGUAAGACAGAGGUGGCUAGCGUUGUUCGGUAUCACUGGGCUUAAAGCGUGUGUAGGCGGAAGCGUAAGCAUUUUGUGAAAUCCCCCGGCUCAACCGGGGAAUCGCUUGAUGUACUGCGCUUCUUGAGGCAAGUAGGGGUGCAUGGAACUCUUGGUGGAGCGGUGGAAUGCGUAGAUAUCAAGAGGAACGCCGGUGGAGAAGUCGGUGCACUGGGCUUGUCCUGACGCUGAGACACGAAAGCGUGGGGAGCGAACGGGAUUAGAUACCCCGGUAGUCCACGCCGUAAACGAUGCCUACUAGGUUGUGGCGGUUCUGACGCCGGCACAGCCGAAGCCAAAGUGUUAAGU